GGGCGCUUAGCUCAGUUGGUAGCAGCAUCGGCCUUUUAAGCCGAGGGUCCAGGGUUCGAGUCCCUGAGCGCCUACCA
This 77-nucleotide transfer RNA is filed under the name Rhizobium laguerreae. Its description in RNAcentral is "tRNA-Lys". It matches the Rfam family "tRNA". Rfam says of the family: Transfer RNA (tRNA) molecules are approximately 80 nucleotides in length. Their secondary structure includes four short double-helical elements and three loops (D, anti-codon, and T loops). The record is from RNAcentral. Lineage: Bacteria; Pseudomonadati; Pseudomonadota; Alphaproteobacteria; Hyphomicrobiales; Rhizobiaceae.